This 496-nucleotide ribosomal RNA is filed under the name uncultured bacterium. RNAcentral's name for it is "partial 16S ribosomal RNA". It matches the Rfam family "Bacterial small subunit ribosomal RNA", at positions 28 to 523 of the family's 1533-position model. The record is from RNAcentral.
GAUGAACGCUGGCGGCGUUCUUAACACAUGCAAGUCGAGCGAAGCACUUUGCUUUGAUUUCUUCGGGAUGAAGAGCUUAGUUACUGAGCGGCGGACGGGUGAGUAACGCGUGGGUAACCUGCCUCAUACAGGGGGAAAACAGUUAGAGAUGACUGCUAAUACCGCAUAAGGCCACAGCACCGCAUGGCGCAGGGCUAAAAACUCCGGUGGUAUGAGAUGGACACGAGUCUGAUUAGGUAGUUGGCGGGGUAACGGCCCACCAAGCCGACGAUCAGUAGCCGACCUGAGAGGGUGACCGGCCACAUUGGGACUGAGACACGGCCCAAACUCCUACGGGAGGCAGCAGUGGGGAAUAUUGCACAAUGGGGAAACCCUGAUGCAGCGACGCCGCGUUAGCGAAGAAGUAUUUCGGUAUGUAAAGCUCUAUCAGCAGGGAAGAAAAUGACGGUACCUGACUAAGAAGCCCCGGCCAACUACGUGCCAGCCGCCGCCGUAA